CCUACGGGAGGCAGCAGUGAGGAAUAUUGGUCAAUGGCCGAGAGGCUGAACCAGCCAAGUCGCGUGAGGGAAGAAUGUCCUAUGGAUUGUAAACCUCUUUUGUCAGGGAGCAAAGUCACCCACGUGUGGGUGUUGGAGAGUACCUGACGAAAAAGAAUCGGCUAACUCCGUUCCAACAGCCGCGGUAAUACGGGGGAUGCAGGCGUAAUCCGGAUUGAUUGGGUUGAAAGGUUGCGUAGGCGGGUUAUCAAGUCAGCGGUAAAAUCGUGGAGCUCAACUCCAUCCAGCAGUUGAAACUGAUGGUCUUGAGUGGGGGAGAGGGAGGUGGAAUGCGUGGUGUAGCGGUGAAAUGCAUAGAGAUCACGCAGAACUCCGAUUGCGAAGGCAGCAUACCGGAGCCCGACUGACGCUGAAGCACGGAAGCGUGGGUAUCGAACAGGAUUAGAUACCCGAGUAGUC
Molecule: ribosomal RNA, 459 nt
Filed under: uncultured bacterium
Lineage: Bacteria
Description: partial 16S ribosomal RNA
Rfam family: Bacterial small subunit ribosomal RNA
Source: RNAcentral